GAUGAACGCUGGCGGCGUGCCUAAUACAUGCAAGUCGAGCGAACAGAUGAGGAGCUUGCUCCUCGGACGUGAGCGGCGCAGGGGUGAGAAACGCGUGGAUAACCCAUCUAUAAGACUGGGAUAACUUCGGGAAACUGGAGCUAAUAGCGUAAAAGAUAUUGUACCGUAUGGUUCAAUAGUGAAAGACGGUUUUGCUGUUACUUAAAGAUGGAUCCGGGCCGCAGUAGCUAGUUGGUAAGGUAACGGCUAACCAAGGCAACGAUGCGUAGCCGACCUGGGGGGGUGAUCGCCACCACUGGACCUGGGCACCGGUCCGGACUCCUACGGGAGGCGGCGGUAGGGAAUCUUCCGAAAUGGGCGAAAGCUUGACGGGGCACCGCCGGGUAGGUAAUAAGGGUCUUCGGAUCUUAAAACUCUGUUAUUAGGGAAGAACAAAUGUGUAAGUAACUAUGCACGUCUUGACGGUACCUAAUCAGAAAGCCACGGCUAACUACGUG
Molecule: ribosomal RNA, 497 nt
Filed under: uncultured bacterium
Lineage: Bacteria
Description: partial 16S ribosomal RNA
Rfam family: Bacterial small subunit ribosomal RNA
Source: RNAcentral